Molecule: ribosomal RNA, 482 nt
Filed under: uncultured bacterium
Lineage: Bacteria
Description: partial 16S ribosomal RNA
Rfam family: Bacterial small subunit ribosomal RNA
Source: RNAcentral
GACGAACGCUGGCGGCGUGCUUAACACAUGCAAGUCGAACGCUGAAGCCCAGCUUUUGUUGGGUGGAUGAGUGGCGAACGGGUGAGUAACACGUGAGUAACCUGCCUCCUUCUUUGGGAUAACGCCCGGAAACGGGUGCUAAUACUGGAUAUUCACUGGUCUUCGCAUGGGGGUUGGUGGAAAGGGUUUUUCUGGUGGGGGAUGGGCUCGCGGCCUAUCAGCUUGUUGGUGGGGUGAUGGCCUACCAAGGCUUUGACGGGUAGCCGGCCUGAGAGGGUGACGGGUGGAGUGGGGGAUGAGAUACGGCCCGACUGAGACAGGGAGGAAGCGGUGGGGAAAGUGGGCAAAGGGGGAAAGGCCGGAAGGGGCGAGGCCCUGAGGGGAUGGAGGCCUUCGGAUUGUGAACCUCUUUCGCUCAUGGUCAAGCCGCAACAAUGGUUGUGGUGAGGGUAGUGGGUAAAGAAGCGCCGGCUAACUACGUG